GUGCCAGCCGCCGCGGUAAUACCGGCAGCACGAGUGAUGGCCGCUGUUAUUGGGCCUAAAGCGUCCGUAGCCGGCCGAGCAAGUCCGUCGGGAAAUCUGUCCGCUUAACGGACAGGCGUCCGGCGGAAACUGUUCGGCUUGGGGCCGGGAGAUCCGAGGGGUACGUCCGGGGUAGGAGUGAAAUCCCGUAAUCCUGGACGGACCGCCGGUGGCGAAAGCGCCUCGGAAAGACGGACCCGACGGUGAGGGACGAAAGCUAGGGUCUCGAACCGGAUUAGAAACCCGAGUAGUCC
This 293-nucleotide ribosomal RNA is filed under the name uncultured bacterium. Its description in RNAcentral is "partial 16S ribosomal RNA". It matches the Rfam family "Archaeal small subunit ribosomal RNA", at positions 455 to 747 of the family's 1478-position model. The record is from RNAcentral.